GCAGUCGAGCGAACAGAAGGGAGCUUGCUCCCGGAUGUUAGCGGCGGACGGGUGAGUAACACGUGGGUAACCUGCCUGUAAGACUGGGAUAACUCCGGGAAACCGGAGCUAAUACCGGAUAGUUCCUUGAACCGCAUGGUUCAAGGAUGAAAGACGGUUUCGGCUGUCACUUACAGAUGGACCCGCGGCGCAUUAGCUAGUUGGUGGGGUAAUGGCUCACCAAGGCGACGAUGCGUAGCCGACCUGAGAGGGUGAUCGGCCACACUGGGACUGAGACACGGCCCAGACUCCUACGGGAGGCAGCAGUAGGGAAUCUUCCGCAAUGGACGAAAGUCUGACGGAGCAACGCCGCGUGAGUGAUGAAGGUUUUCGGAUCGUAAAGCUCUGUUGUUAGGGAAGAACAAGUGCGAGAGUAACUGCUCGCACCUUGACGGUACCUAACCAGAAAGCCACGGCUAACUACGUGCCAGCAGCCGCGGUAAUACGUAGGUGGCAAGCGUUGUCCGGAAUUAUUGGGCGUAAAGGGCUCGCAGGCGGUUUCUUAAGUCUGAUGUGAAAGCCCCCGGCUCAACCGGGGAGGGUCAUUGGAAA
RNAcentral lists this ribosomal RNA (591 nucleotides) under Bacillus sp. CH326b_11D. Its description in RNAcentral is "bacterial SSU rRNA". It matches the Rfam family "Bacterial small subunit ribosomal RNA", at positions 57 to 632 of the family's 1533-position model. Lineage: Bacteria; Bacillati; Bacillota; Bacilli; Caryophanales; Bacillaceae. The record is from RNAcentral.